RNAcentral lists this ribosomal RNA (777 nucleotides) under uncultured Neocallimastigales. RNAcentral describes it as "partial large subunit ribosomal RNA". It matches the Rfam family "Eukaryotic large subunit ribosomal RNA", at positions 24 to 616 of the family's 3401-position model. The record is from RNAcentral. Lineage: Eukaryota; Fungi; Neocallimastigomycota; Neocallimastigomycetes; Neocallimastigales.
GUUAGUCUCGCACAGAUGCAUAUCAAUAAGCGGAGGAAAAGAAACUAACAAGGAUUCCCUUAGUAACGGCGAGUGAAGCGGGAAAGAGCUCAAAUUUGAAAUCUUCAAGGUUUUACCUUGACGAAUUGUAGUUUAAAGAAGUGUUUUCUGUUGAAGUUUUGGUAAAAGUUCUUUGGAAUAGGACAUCAUAGAGGGUGAGAAUCCCGUAUUUGACCAUUAUUUUCAGCUGUGUGAUACACUUUCAAAGAGUCGGAUUGUUUGGGAAUGCAGUCCGAAAUGGGUGGUAAAUUUCAUCUAAAGCUAAAUAUUGGCGAGAGACCGAUAGCGAACAAGUACCGUGAGGGAAAGAUGAAAAGAACUUUGAAAAGAGAGUUAAACAGUACGUGAAAUUGUCAAAAGGGAAGCGUUUGACACCAGUGUUGUUUUCUCGAAAAUCAAUUAAAAAGAGUUAGAUUUUGUUGUGUAUUGACCUUAACAGCUUGCAUUUCAAUUUUCUUGCUUUUUUCUAAUGCACUUUUCGUUUAACAAGUCAACAUCAGUUUCUUUUGUUGUAAAAAGGUCAUUGGAAGGUGGCUUUCUUUUCGGAGAAAGUGUUUAUAGCCUUUGACUCCUGCAAUCGGAGAGACUGAGGUCUGCAGCGUAGAUCCUUCGGGGUUAGAUACAUUUGUGCUAAGCUAUAGCUUUUUAUAGACAACUUGUUGACUAUGAUUAGUCUUGUAGCUUACUCGCUUAUGCUAUUUUACCUACGCUUAGGAUGUUGAGCGCAUGUCUCUCUCU